Molecule: long non-coding RNA, 1208 nt
Organism: Humulus lupulus (European hop)
Lineage: Eukaryota; Viridiplantae; Streptophyta; Magnoliopsida; Rosales; Cannabaceae
Exons: 3
Source: RefSeq, a predicted model, not a curated record
CUAAGGAAACAUGGUAAUCAUAGGUAUUUUUCUUUUUAAAAUAAUUUCUAAUGCCUUUGUUAAUUCUUUGUAAUUUGAAAAUAAUAAAUGGUCUUUUAUAUUUUCUUAAUGGCUAAAUAAAAUUGUUUUAUGAAAUAAAAAGAAUGUCUUGGGAGAUUUAAUCAACCUAGUAAUUUUAAGAAGAUAAACAAUGGUAAACAACACAUGCUACAAGUCUUUUAUUUUUAAAACGAUAGAAGUAAGACGCAUAAAAUUACCAUUUUAAACACCACAAUUACGCAACGUUCCCACGUAUGCAUGUUACAUGCAAAUUCACUUUUACGUCCAAAAUUAUGUCUAUUUUUCAACCAUGUAGUUUUUAUAGAAAGAUCAUGCAUUAUUCUUUUUAUGACCUUAUGUGUAAUUAAGUAUAUUAGUAUGUUGUGUGUAACCCAUACUAUGUGUGCAUGGCCCAUGCACACAUGAAUUAUAUGAAAGGGAAAAUUAGUAAUUAUGUGAAGCUAAGGAAUGUCGUUUUGAUUAUGGUAUAUGCUCGUUGAGAAGUUGUGGUUUACUUAGCUUGGACCUGAGGUAAGAAAGUUAGAUAGAAUUUAUGAAUGUUAUAUUAUGAAUGGUAAGAUUGUUGUGUGAAUGAAAUGUUAUGAAUUAUGAAUGCCACAAUGUGAUGAUAUGUUGGCAUGUAUGAAUAUUGUAUGAUAUGAAUGGAUGUUAGCGUGAUGAACGCGACACAUCAAAAUGGGUUGCUAAGAAUAAAGAAGACAUAACCCGAGUUACUAAGGAUAUGAAGACGUAACUCCAUGGGCAGACGCGCCGAGGUUAUUCAAGGACCAGAGACUCUUGUUUACCUCAAAGGCUGGCAUGGACAAGUUAGCGGGCCAUGUUCACAAUGAAUUAUGUAGCAAAUAGGUUUCUCAAUGGCACACGUGGUGAUGUGGGAAGUUCUAUUGUCUUGGUGUGUAUGGCGUGGGGCAUCCUAUGGACGAAAAACGAUCACUUAAAGAUGUCAUUUUAAUAAUGUAAAGGGAAAGAAAAGCUCACCCAGCCUUGAGUGGAAAGCUUAGGUGGUGAUGUGUACAUAUGCGGCCGCUUAACCACCACGGCCAAGGAGUUCUCAAAGGAACUAAGGGGUUUACCCUAUUUUUGCCGCUUAGGUCGGCGGGUUUGUAAAUUUGAAACAGUAAUGACCAUUUUGAGUUAUAAAUAACUUG